Molecule: ribosomal RNA, 250 nt
Filed under: uncultured bacterium
Lineage: Bacteria
Description: partial 16S ribosomal RNA
Rfam family: Bacterial small subunit ribosomal RNA
Source: RNAcentral
UAGAUACCCUGGUAGUCCACGCCGUAAACGAUGGAUACUAGGUGUAGGAGGUAUCGACCCCUUCUGUGCCGGAGUUAACGCAAUAAGUAUCCCGCCUGGGAAGUACGAUCGCAAGAUUAAAACUCAAAGGAAUUGACGGGGGCCCGCACAAGCGGUGGAGUAUGUGGUUUAAUUCGACGCAACGCGAAGAACCUUACCAAGUCUUGACAUUGAUCGCCAUUCCAAGAGAUUGGAAGUUCUCCUUCGGGAG